AGAGUUUGAUCAUGGCUCAGAAUCAACGCUGGCGGCGCGCUUAACACAUGCAAGUCGCACGAGAAAGGGAGCAAUCCUGAGUAUAGUGGCGCACGGGUGAGUAACACGUGGAUGAUCUACCUCCUUGUGGGGAAUAACCCUGGGAAACCGGGGCUAAUACCGCAUACGUUCGAGAGAAGAAAGCCGAAAGGCGCAGGGAGAGGAGUCCGCGGUCGAUUAGCUAGUUGGCAGGGUAAUGGCCUACCAAGGCGACGAUCGAUAGCCGGCCUGAGAGGGCACACGGCCACACUGGCACUGAAACACGGGCCAGACUCCUACGGGAGGCAGCAGUGGGGAAUCUUGCACAAUGGGGGAAACCCUGAUGCAGCGACGCCGCGUGAACGAUGAAGCCCUUCGGGGUGUAAAGUUCUUUCGACGGGGACGAUAAUGACGGUACCCGGAGAAGAAGCUGCGGCUAACUACGUGCCAGCAGCCGCGGUAAUACGUAGGCAGCAAGCGUUGUUCGGAAUUACUGGGCGUAAAGAGUGCGUAGGCGGUUAACUAAGUUUGGUGUGAAAUCUCCCGGCUUAACUGGGAGGGUGCGCCGAAAACUGGCUAGCUAGAGUGUGGGAGAGGAUAGUGGAAUUCCUGGUGUAGCGGUGAAAUGCGUAGAUAUCAGGAGGAACACCUGCGGUCUAGACGGCUAUCUGGACCAUGACUGACGCUGAGGCACGAAAGCGUGGGUAGCAAACAGGAUUAGAUACCCUGGUAGUCC
This 754-nucleotide ribosomal RNA is filed under the name uncultured bacterium. Its description in RNAcentral is "bacterial SSU rRNA". It matches the Rfam family "Bacterial small subunit ribosomal RNA", at positions 8 to 796 of the family's 1533-position model. The record is from RNAcentral.